This 487-nucleotide ribosomal RNA is filed under the name uncultured bacterium. Its description in RNAcentral is "bacterial SSU rRNA". It matches the Rfam family "Bacterial small subunit ribosomal RNA", at positions 28 to 507 of the family's 1533-position model. The record is from RNAcentral.
GAUGAACGCUAGCGACAGGCUUAACACAUGCAAGUCGAACGAGAGGAGAAGGAAGCUUGCUUCUUUCAAAUCUAGUGGCAAACGGGUGAGUAACACGUAAACAACCUGCCUUCAGGAUGGGGACAACAGACGGAAACGACUGCUAAUACCGAAUACGUUCCUUAGGUCGCAUGACUUUAGGAAGAAAGGGUGGCCUCUACUUGUAAGCUAUCGCCUGAAGAGGGGUUUGCGUCUGAUUAGGUAGUUGGUGAGGUAACGGCCCACCAAGCCGACGAUCAGUAGCCGGUCUGAGAGGGUGAACGGCCACAUUGGGACUGAGACACGGCCCAGACUCCUACGGGAGGCAGCAGUGGGGGAUAUUGCACAAUGGGGGAAACCCUGAUGCAGCGACGCCGCGUGAGGGAAGACGGUCCUCUGGAUUGUAAACCUCUGUCUUCGGGGACGAAAGAAGACGGUACCCGAGGAGGAAGCCACGGCUAACUACGUG